This 596-nucleotide ribosomal RNA is filed under the name uncultured bacterium. Its description in RNAcentral is "bacterial SSU rRNA". It matches the Rfam family "Bacterial small subunit ribosomal RNA", at positions 338 to 947 of the family's 1533-position model. The record is from RNAcentral.
CCUACGGGAGGCAGCAGUGGGGAAUUUUCCGCAAUGGGCGAAAGCCUGACGGAGCAAUACCGCGUGAGGGAGGAAGGCUCUUGGGUUGUAAACCUCUUUUCUCAGGGAAGAUAAUGACGGUACCUGAGGAAUAAGCAUCGGCUAACUCCGUGCCAGCAGCCGCGGUAAUACGGAGGAUGCAAGCGUUAUCCGGAAUGAUUGGGCGUAAAGCGUCCGCAGGUCGGUUUUGAAAGUCUGCUGUUAAAGCGUGCGGCUUAACCGCAUAAGGGCAGUGGAAACUAUGAGACUAGAGUGCGUUAGGGGCAGAGGGAAUUCCCAGUGUAGCGGUGAAAUGCGUAGAGAUUGGGAAGAACACCGGUGGCGAAGGCGCUCUGCUAUACCGUAACUGACACUGAGGGACGAAAGCUAGGGGAGCGAAUGGGAUUAGAUACCCCAGUAGUCCUAGCCGUAAACGAUGGAUACUAGGCGUUGUCUGUAUCGACCCGGACAGUGCCGUAGCUAACGCGUUAAGUAUCCCGCCUGGGGAGUACGCAGGCAACGUGUGAAACUCAAAUGAAUUGAACGGCUGAGAGUGCGAGACGACGACGAGGAGGAGG